ACCCGCUGAACUUAAGCAUAUCAAUAAGCGGAGGAAAAGAAACCAACAGGGAUUGCCCUAGUAACGGCGAGCGAAGCGGCAACAGCUCAAAUUUGAAAUCUGGCGUCUUUGGCGUCCGAGUUGUAAUUUGCAGAGGGCGCUUUGGCAUUGGCAGCGGUCCAAGUUCCUUGGAACAGGACGUCACAGAGGGUGAGAAUCCCGUACGUGGUCGCUAGCCUUUACCGUGUAAAGCCCCUUCGACGAGUCGAGUUGUUUGGGAAUGCAGCUCUAAAUGGGAGGUAAAUUUCUUCUAAAGCUAAAUACUGGCCAGAGACCGAUAGCGCACAAGUAGAGUGAUCGAAAGAUGAAAAGCACUUUGGAAAGAGGGUUAAAAAGCACGUGAAAUUGUUGAAAGGGAAGCGCUUGCAGCCAGACUUGCCUGUAGUUGCUCAUCCGGGUUUUUACCCGGUGCACUCUUCUAUAGGCAGGCCAGCAUCAGUUUGGGCGGUUGGAUAAAGGUCUCUGUCAUGUACCUCUCUUCGGGGAGAACUUAUAGGGGAGACGACAUGCAACCAGCCCGGACUGAGGUCCGCGCAUCUGCUAGGAUGCUGGCGUAAUGGCUGU
RNAcentral lists this ribosomal RNA (603 nucleotides) under uncultured fungus. RNAcentral describes it as "eukaryotic LSU rRNA". It matches the Rfam family "Eukaryotic large subunit ribosomal RNA", at positions 23 to 641 of the family's 3401-position model. The record is from RNAcentral. Lineage: Eukaryota; Fungi.